GCAGGCAUGGCACCACAUGCCUAUAACCCCUGCCACUGGGGAGGCUGAGGCUGGUGGUUUGCUUGAGCUCAGUGUGCUAAGCCAAUUGGGUGUCUGCACUAAAUCUGGCAUCAACAUAGUGAACUCUUGGAAGUGAGAGACUAUUACGUUGCUUAAGGAGGGGGUAAACCUGCCCAGGUUGGAAAUGGAGCGAGUUAUAACUCCUAUGCCAAUCAUUAGUGGGAUCAGUCCAUGAGUGGCCACUUCACUUCGAGGCUUGGAGAAACAUGGAGACUCAGUCUCAU
Phascolarctos cinereus (koala) is the source of this 284-nucleotide unclassified non-coding RNA. It matches the Rfam family "Metazoan signal recognition particle RNA". From Rfam's summary of the family: The signal recognition particle (SRP) is a universally conserved ribonucleoprotein. It is involved in the co-translational targeting of proteins to membranes. The eukaryotic SRP consists of a 300-nucleotide 7S RNA and six proteins: SRPs 72, 68, 54, 19, 14, and 9. The record is from Ensembl. Lineage: Eukaryota; Metazoa; Chordata; Mammalia; Diprotodontia; Phascolarctidae.